GUGCCAGCCGCCGCGGUAAUACAUAGGGGUCAAGCGUUGUCCGGAUUUAUUGGGCGUAAAGAGCUCGUAGGCGGUUCAACAAGUCGGUCGUAAAAGUUUAGGGCUCAACCCUAAAAUGUCGAUCGAUACUGUUGUGACUAGGAUACGGUAGAGGUGAAUGGAAUUCCGAGUGUAGCGGUGAAAUGCGUAGAUAUUCGGAGGAACACCAAUUGCGAAGGCAGUUCACUGGGCCGCUAUCGACGCUGAGGAGCGAAAGCUAGGGGAGCAAACACGAUUAGACA
This 281-nucleotide ribosomal RNA is filed under the name uncultured bacterium. RNAcentral describes it as "partial 16S ribosomal RNA". It matches the Rfam family "Bacterial small subunit ribosomal RNA", at positions 505 to 784 of the family's 1533-position model. The record is from RNAcentral.